GCGCAGCAGUCGCGAAAACUCUCCAAUGCGCGAAAGCGUGAGAGGGGGAUGCCGAGUGCUCAUGCAAUGCAUGGGCUUUUGCCAAAAGUAAAAAUUUUGGCGAAUAAGUGGUGGGUAAGACGGGUGCCAGCCGCCGCGGUAAUACCCGCGCCACGAGUGGGAGCCACUAUUAUUGGGCCUAAAGCGUCCGUAGCCGGUUUUGUAAGUUUCUGGGUAAAUCCCACAGCUUAACUGCGGGAAUUCCAGAAAUACUGCAGAGCUAGGGGCCGGGAGACGCAGAAGGUACUCCUGGGGUAGGGGUGAAAUCCUAUAAUCCUAGGGGGACCACCAGUGGCGAAGGCGUUCUGCGAGAACGGGCUCGACGGUGAGGGACGAAAGCCAGGGGCGCAAACGGGAUUAGAUACCCCGGUAGUCC
This 415-nucleotide ribosomal RNA is filed under the name uncultured archaeon. RNAcentral's name for it is "partial 16S ribosomal RNA". It matches the Rfam family "Archaeal small subunit ribosomal RNA", at positions 330 to 747 of the family's 1478-position model. The record is from RNAcentral.